RNAcentral lists this ribosomal RNA (468 nucleotides) under uncultured bacterium. RNAcentral's name for it is "partial 16S ribosomal RNA". It matches the Rfam family "Bacterial small subunit ribosomal RNA", at positions 28 to 507 of the family's 1533-position model. The record is from RNAcentral.
GACGAACGCUGGCGGCGUGCUUAACACAUGCAAGUCGAACGGAAAGGCCCUGCGUUUGUGGGGUGCUCGAGUGGCGAGCGGGUGAGUAACACGUGAGUAACCUGCCCUUGACUUUGGGAUAACUUCAGGGAACUGGGGCUAAUACCGGAUAGGAGCUCCUGCUGCGUGGUGGGGGUUGGAAAGUUUCGGCGGUUGGGGAUGGACUCGCGGCUUAUCAGCUUGUUGGUGAGGUAGUGGCUUACCAAGGGUUUGACGGGUAGCCGGCCUGAGAGGGUGACCGGCCACAUUGGGACUGAGAUACGGCCCAGACUCCUACGGGAGGCAGCAGUGGGGAAUAUUGCACAAUGGGCGGAAGCCUGAUGCAGCAACGCCGCGUGCGGGAUGACGGCCUACGGGUUGUAAACCGAUUUGGCCUGUGACGAAGCGUGAGUGACGGUAAUGGGUAAAGAAGCACCGGCUAACUACGUG